Molecule: ribosomal RNA, 253 nt
Filed under: uncultured bacterium
Lineage: Bacteria
Description: partial 16S ribosomal RNA
Rfam family: Bacterial small subunit ribosomal RNA
Source: RNAcentral
UACGAAGGGGGCUAGCGUUGUUCGGAAUUACUGGGCGUAAAGCGCAUGUAGGCGGAUAUUUAAGUCAGGGGUGAAAUCCCAGAGCUCAACUCUGGAACUGCCUUUGAUACUGGGUAUCUUGAGUAUGGAAGAGGUGAGUGGAAUUCCGAGUGUAGAGGUGAAAUUCGUAGAUAUUCGGAGGAACACCAGUGGCGAAGGCGGCUCACUGGUCCAUUACUGACGCUCAGGUGCGAAAGCGUGGGGAGCAAACAGG